Molecule: long non-coding RNA, 9300 nt
Filed under: Capsicum annuum
Lineage: Eukaryota; Viridiplantae; Streptophyta; Magnoliopsida; Solanales; Solanaceae
Description: long non-coding RNA (CANN_LNC016773)
Source: RNAcentral
UUCUGAAAGAGAUGGAGGGAAAUUCUUAAUGCAUGAUCUUGUCAAUGAUUUGGCCCAAAUUGCAUCUUCAAAACUUUGUGUCAGGUUGGAAGAGUGCCAAGGACCUCAUAUGUUGGAACAAAGUCGGCAUAUGUCGUAUGCAAUGGGGAAAGGUGGUGACUUUGAGAAAUUGAAACCGCUCUCUAAGUCAGAGCAGCUAAGAACAUUGCUUCCAAUAUCUAUCCAGUACCUUUACCGCCCUAAGCUAAGCAAGAGGGUGCUGCAUAACAUACUGCCAAGGCUAACAUCUUUAAGGGCAUUAUCGUUGUCAUGUUAUGAGAUUUUGGAGUUGCCGGAUGCUUUGUUUAUCAAAUUAAAACUCCUGAGAUUUUUGGACCUUUCUCGGACGCAGAUUAAAAAAUUGCCCCAUUCCAUCUGUGCAUUGUAUAACUUGGAGGCACUUCUCCUGUCAUCUUGUGCAUAUCUUGAGGAGCUACUGCCGCAGAUGGAAAAGCUAAUCAACUUGUGUCAUCUUGACAUAAGCGACACUUCUCGCUUGAAGAUGCCGCUACAUCUGAGCAAGUUGAAAAGCCUCCAAGUGCUAGAUGGAGCCAAAUUUCUUUUAGGUGGCCCCUGUGGUUGGAGAAUGAAAGAUUUGGGUGGAGCACAUUACUUGUAUGGAUCUCUAUCAAUUUUGGCGUUGCAAAAUGUGGUUGAUAGAAGGGAAGCUCAGAAGGCAAAGAUGAGGGAGAAGAAUCAUGUUGAAAAGUUAUCGUUGAAAUGGAGUAAAAGUGAUGCUGACAAUUCACAAACUGAAAGAGACAUACUUGAUGAACUACGCCCACACACAAACAUAAAAGAACUCCAAAUCUGCAGAUAUAGAGGGACACAAUUUCCAAAUUGGUUUGCUGAUCCUUCGUUUCUUAAGCUGCUAGUACAAUUGUCUCUUAGCAACUGCAAGGACUGUUAUUCCUUGCCAGCACUAGGACAACUUCCUUCUUUGAAAUUCCUUUCCAUUAGAGAGAUGCAUCGAAUAACAGAGGUGAUGGAGGAAUUCUAUGGUAGUCCGUCCUCCAAAAAGCCUUUUAACUCUCUUGAGAAGCUUGAAUUUGCAGCGAUGCCGGAGUGGAAGCAGUGGCACGUACUACGGAAUGGAGAGUUUCCUGCACUUCAGGACCUUUCAAUUGAUGAUUGCCCCAAGUUGGUUGGGAAGUUCCCCGCGAAUCUUUGUUCUCUGACGAAAUUGAGAAUCUCAAGAUGUCCUGAACUCAAUUUGGAGACACUCAUCCAACUUUCAAGUUUAAAAAAGUUUGUAGCUUCUUAUUCUCCUAAGGCUGGGGUUCUCUUUGAUGAAGCUGAACUAUUUACAUCCCUACUUGAGGGAAUGAAGCAGAUUGAGGAAUUAUCUAUUAGUAAUUGCAACUCUCUUACCUCCAUGCCUACUAGCACUCUGCCGAGUACGUUGAAGACAAUAAGGAUAUGGCGUUGCCAGAAAUUGAAAUUGGAGAUGAUUUCUAAGAUGUUUCUGGAGGUAUUGAGACUGGAUGAAUGUGAUUCUACAUCAUCAACUGAGUUGGUCCCAAGAGCACGCAAUUUGUAUGUAAGGAGUUGCCAAAACCUUACUAGUUUUUUGAUUCCUAAUGGGACUGAAACACUCCAUAUUAGUGAUUGUGAGAAUCUUGAAAUACUUUCGGUGGCAUGUAGGACCCAGAUGAUGUCAUUAGGUAUCCACAAUUGCAAAAAGCUGAAGCGGCUGCCAGAACGUAUGCAGGAACUCCUUCCCUCUCUUAAUAAACUGGAACUGUGGACUUGUCCAGAAAUAGAGUCCUUUCCUGAUGGAGGAUUGCCCUUCAAUUUACAACUCCUUACGAUCAACAAUUGCGAGAAACUGGUGAAUGGCCGAAAGGAGUGGCGUUUACAGAGACUCCCCUCUCUCAGAGUGUUACGCAUCUACCACAAUGGCAGUGACGAAGAUAUUGUUGGUGGUGAGAAUUGGGAGUUGCCUUGCUCUAUUCGAAAGCUUACCAUAAGCAAUAUGAAAACAUUAAGCAACCAACUUCUCAAAAGGCUCACCUCUUUUGAAUAUCUAUAUAUUAGUGAUUUACCUCAAGUUAAGUCACUGCUUGAAGAAGGGCUUCCCUCCUCCCUCUCUGUGCUGACCAUCGGGAAUUGCCGUAAUCUCCAAUCCCUUCCAGUAAAAGGGAUGCCCUCCUCCCUCUCUAAGCUGUCCAUCGAGGAUUGCCCUAAUCUCCAAUCCCUUCCAGUAAAAGGGAUGCCCUCCUCCCUCUCUGAGCUGUCCAUCUCUCAUUGCCCUAAUCUCCAAUCACUUCCCGAAUCAGCGUUUCCCUCCUCCCUCUCUGUGCUGACCAUCGAGUAUUGCCGUAACCUCCAAUCACUUCCAGUAAAAGGGAUGCCCUCUUCCCUCUCUAAACUAUCUAUUCGCUACUGCCCAUUGCUCGAACCACUCCUAGAAUAUGACAAGGGGGAGUACUGGCCAGAAAUUGCUCACAUCUCCACCAUAAAUAUUGAUGGCAAAUUCCUUUGAUGACUUAAACCGAAUGGUAAGUUAUUCUUUUCCCACAGAAGCUUUUUAUUUUUUACUUCCCUUUGUUCUUUUGUUAAUUCUCUCUUUUUUAAAUCUUAUUGAGAAGUGUGGAGCUUCUGUUGCUCCAACCACAUCUAGUAUUCGAUAAGCGGGUAUGCUAGCCAAAAAUUUCUUGUUUGUUAGUAAUUCUGUUUCUUUGUUUAAUUAUUUUGACCAGUGUGUAGCAUCUAUUGCCUCUGUGAAGCCGAGGAAGCAUCUUCAGAUCAAGAUAAAGUAUUUAUACUUGCACUGGAACAUUCAAAAAGAAAUCUAGUGUAGCUCCACAAAAUUGAUUGUUCAAUACGUAGACUCUCUUUUCUUGUCUAUUAACUUAUGUUCUCCCUCAAAUCUUGCAGACGAAAAUAUGAUUCGCCAUCAAGAAAGCUGUUCCGCUUUGUUCUGCAUUUUUUCGUCUCUUCUACAGAGAUAAAGGGUCCAAGAUGCUUCAGUUACCAAGAUGCCUCCCAAUAAGUUAAAACUACUAAAAGCAUCAGCACUGUGCAGUUUUUUGUUAAUGAUUAUUGGAUAUCAACUUUGCAAAUUUUAUUCUUUGUCAGGAUUUUCGUAUGCUGUUACAACUCUCAGCUCAGUUGGUAAAAGGAAAAUUCUGCUGCAAUUCUCUAUUGAAUAGAAAGUCACUCGAAUGUGGUCUGACAGCAAAGUGUAAGUGAACAAAGACUAGUCAUUUUUUUAUCAUCUAGUGAUCUUGACUAUCAGUCCAAGGUUUUGUUAUCGUUGGCUGUAAACGUUGUACUAAUGCUUUAAAUUUUUAUACAUAAAUAUGUGUGAUCAUCAGAAUGAUGUAUCUCUUUGCUAUUGAUGACGUUUAAUUUUCUUUUCAGGAUAUAAAUUACGUUGUGCUCAUUUAUCAAACACAUAGCUUUAAAUUAAGGCUCCAUAGAGAAUCUAUUGAAAAGAUAAUGACAGAUAACAAUCAGAAGUUUUAGGAAAUAAGUAAACUUCCAUUGUCGGGAUUUUGGGAGCUAUUCAACAUCCAAUUGCCGUCUCAGUUAGAUUGCUUGUCCUUACCAUUUUCCUUUAAACAAGUCACUUCAGGUUGGGAAUAUCUUCCUCCGGGAAAGAUGUCAUUGCCUUGUGAUCUUGGUUUCGACUUACUGAAAAAAGUAGACAAUUUACAAGUUUUUGAGAUAUCACACAAGUCGGAAGUUCAGCAGAAAGAAGGUCGAGAUGGACCUGAAGAAACUGAGAGGGACUCUCCAUGGCAUCAACAGCUUAUUCUGUAUUUUGGUACGUUUAGUACAUAGAGGAGUUCAACUGAGAAGCCAACCUCUUUAACCAACGUGCAGCCCAUUUUUAUAUAAAUUCUGUUUGUGCUUUUUCAUGAUCAGGAGAGUGGUGUUUUCAUCCAUUCAGACCAAAAGCGCACCAAUUUUAGAAACUUCAGCUGAUGGAGCAAGUCCGGCAACUGCUGCCUCUGAUCAAUCUGGAGACCUGUGGUCAGAAGUCAAAUCCAACGUUGCACAGAAGGAGGACCGCAUGCGAUUCAACUUUUUGGCAUGGCUGGACUUGUCCAAUCGGAAAAUCCCUGGUGUAUGGCUUCAAUAUAAAUAUUUAAUUGGCAGCUAAUAAUAAAGUUCUCUGCUUUUCACUUGUAUUACUGGCUUUUGGUUUCGGAUUGACGACUUUAAAAUGUGUCACGGGGGUCUACGGCUCGCUUCUUUAUAUACUAACAUCAUCAGGACUAUGGAUGUGAUAGAUUUGUGUUAAGUCUUUCUCUUCUGACUUGACUUGUAGGGUUUUACUGAAUAUAUUGUUUUUUUUUUUUUUAUUAAGGUAAAGUUGUAUUCUUCAGCAUUGAGGAUAUGCUGGCAACCUCCAAAAAAUUACAGGGCAAUAAGUCAUACUUACAAAUAACCAAGGAAAUCUACUAUUUGGCCUGCUUUAUCUAUACCUUCUUCUUUACACCAAAAAUACAUAGUACUAAUGCAAGAAUCUUUGACUUCUUUCCAUAAAGCAUGAUCUUCUUUGACAAACCUCCGAAGCCACUUUGCAAGUAAACACUUAUUGUGGAGCCUUAAAUUCUUGAUACCAAUCCCCCCUGAUUGUUUGCUGAGUUGAGCAGUUUGCCAUUUGACUAAAUGAAUACCUUUCCCUCUCUUGUUGCCCAAACACAAGAAGUCCUCAGUUUGUCUAGUUUCUCUUCCACCUUAACAGGUAGAGGGAAGAGUGACAUGACAUAUGACGGUAGUGCAUCUAGGACUGAGUUGAUCGGGAUUGCUCUUCCUCCCAGGGAUAAGUACUGUGACUUCCAAGUAGCUAAUUUUUUCUCAGUCUUCUCCACAAUACCAAAGGCAUCCCCAGAUAGGUAGUUGGGAAUUUUUCUACGUUGUUACUUAAGGUAUUCGCUAGGCUUUGAAUGUUUGCAACUUCCUCCUUCUAACAUAUGAGGUGAAUUUCUUACUAUAAAUGUGUAUAUGAUUUGAAUCAAAAUUGUUAAAUUUUAUCGAAUUCGUAACUUUGUUAUGUUUCUGUAAGUGAGUUAAGAUUAAAGGUUAUAACUCACUUGUUUAGCUCCUCUACCUUUCACGAUUGAAGUGAAGGAUUUAAUAACCCAUCAGUAGACAACAAACUACGUCGAUUUUAAUAAAUAUUUAUAAAAAUGAAUAAUUUUUACGCCAUUCAAUUAUAUAUUAUCAUAUAAUAUAUGUUCUAUUUUAGUUUUCAGAUUACAAUAGAAUUAAACAUAAAUAUCUUUCGACAAAGUGUAAUACUAUUGGUGUAAAUAUCUUUUUAUAUUGUUAGUGAAUACUGUUAGGAUCGAUUAGCAGUUCACACACACUAAAUCUAUGGAGAGGAUGAAGAAAACUAGAGAGAGUUCUUGAGGAGAGAGAGAGAGGUAAUUUCGUGGUAACACCCGUGGGUAACCUCCGCAGCGGAUAGACUAUUUAUAUUAAUGACUUGGAGUAUGUACAACUACACAGAGAAUGAGAAUAAAAGAUACAUUAAUAUAUAACAGUACGUCACAUAUUAAUCAGGCUCCACAACCUAACAAAUACUAAUCAAACUCAACUUACUAUGGCAUAUCAAGUAGUGUUAUACCUAUAAGAGUUUAUUAUGAUUAUUUUAUCAAGUAGACACAUGGGUUGGUCGGUAAUUGUAAUACCUAGAUGUGACAAUGACUUUCUUGUUACUCUGAAUACGUCCGAGCCAACGAAAAUCAAAAGAUGACAUGAUUAUUAUUGGAUCUUCAGUAUUGACAAAUCUGAAUUUGAGCUAUGUGUAAUUGUUUAUCGUGUGUUUUAAGAGAGUAUAAUCACUUUCUAGUUUUUAUUCUCGCUGAAAAAAAAUUAGGACCUAGUUACACACUAUAUUACUAAUUUAUUGUUAAAUAGUUUGUAACUAACAAAAUCUUUAGACAACAUGUUGCAACUACAGCGCAAACUUUUAUCAUUUCAUCGUAUCUCUUGGUGUUUCCAAAUUCCCAACUUGUUAACAUGUUUUCAAGUACUCCCUUUUACAAUUUAUACGAUUCACUUUUCUUUUAGUCAGUUCACACAAAUAUCGACGAUUUAUUUUAUACUUAAUUUUCAAAAAAAUUCUUUCUUAUAUUUCUCGCCAAAUGAAACUACACAUAAACUGAGAAUGAGGAAAUAAAAAAGUCAUGGCAAGGAGACGUGAAAUGAAAACAAAACAUUAUGAAGUCUUUGUCAACGCAACCACCCCACCACCCUUUCUCUGUUGCCUCAAUUAUUCAACUUUGUCAUACUCAUGUAAGGGAGAAAAAAGGACAGCUUUGAUUCAUAGUUGUACCAAUUACAAGUAAAACCACUGCAAAAAAAAAAAAAAAAAAAGAAAGAGAAAGACAGAAGAAUCACUUUGCAAAUUACUCUUACCAUUCAACAGGUAAAAUAUAGUUGUUAAUAUUUGAAGAUCGAAACCAUUAUCUUCUCAAAAUUCUUAAAAUCAUUUUUGUGGUUCCUUGUUUUGCUUUGUAGAUUUCAAAAAUGGAUAUUGGCUUAGCAGUUGGUGGUGCAUUUCUCUCUUCAGCUUUGAAUGUUCUCUUUGAUAGGCUUGCUCCUCAGGGCGAGCUUCUCAAGAUGUUUCAGAAGAAUAAGCAUGAUGUUCGACUCUUAAAGAAGCUGAAAAUGACUUUGGUUGGCCUUCAGGCUGUGUUNNNNNNNNNNNNNNNNNNNNNNNNNNNNNNNNNNNNNNNNNNNNNNNNNNNNNNNNNNNNNNNNNNNNNNNNNNNNNNNNNNNNNNNNNNNNNNNNNNNNNNNNNNNNNNNNNNNNNNNNNNNNNNNNNNNNNNNNNNNNNNNNNNNNNNNNNNNNNNNNNNNNNNNNNNNNNNNNNNNNNNNNNNNNNNNNNNNNNNNNNNNNNNNNNNNNNNNNNNNNNNNNNNNNNNNNNNNNNNNNNNNNNNNNNNNNNNNNNNNNNNNNNNNNNNNNNNNNNNNNNNNNNNNNNNNNNNNNNNNNNNNNNNNNNNNNNNNNNNNNNNNNNNNNNNNNNNNNNNNNNNNNNNNNNNNNNNNNNNNNNNNNNNNNNNNNNNNNNNNNNNNNNNNNNNNNNNNNNNNNNNNNNNNNNNNAUAAAGGAGAAGUUGGAAGACACCAUUGAAACAUUGGAGGAUUUGCAAAAACAAAUUGGUCUCCUUGGCUUAAAGGAGCAUUUUGCUUCGACUAAACGAGAAACUAGAAGACAGUCAACUUCUUUGGUUGAUGAAUCUGAUGUCUUUGGUCGGCAGAAUGAAAUAGAGGAAUUGAUUGAUCGUUUAUUGUCCAAGGAUGCAAGUGAAAAAAGUCCGACUGUUGUCCCUAUUGUUGGAAUGGGGGGUGUGGGCAAGACAACACUUGCUAAAGCUGCUUACAAUGAUGAGAAGGUAAAAAGCUAUUUUAAUUUGAAAGCUUGGUUUUGUGUGUCUGAGCCAUAUGAUGCUAUCAGAAUAACAAAAGCAUUACUUCAAGAAAUUGGCUCAUUUGACUUAAAGGAUGACAAUAAUCUCAAUCAGCUACAAGUCAAAUUGAAGGAAAGCCUUAAAGGUAAAAGGUUUCUCAUUGUCCUUGAUGACAUGUGGAACGAUGACUAUAAUGAGUGGAAUGACUUGAGAACUCCUUUUGUACAUGGAGAUAUGGGAAGUAAGAUCAUUGUAACUACACGUAAGAAGGAUGUUGCCGGGAUGAUGGGUAGUGGGGCAGUCAACGUGGGAACUCUGUCUAGUGAAGCCUCUUGGGCUUUAUUCAAACGACAUUCGUUAGAAAACAGGUAUCCCGAGGAACAUCCAGAACUUGAAGAGGUUGGAAAACAAAUUUCAGACAAGUGCAAAGGAUUGCCUUUAGCUCUAAAGACACUUGCUGGUUUUUUAUGCUCCAAAUCAGAGGUGGAUGAGUGGACAGACGUUUUAAGAAGUGAAAUAUGGGAGCUGCCACGUCGUCCGAAUGGUAUAUUACCAGCAUUGAUGUUGAGCUACAAUGAUCUUCCUGCACAUUUGAAGCAAUGUUUUGCUUAUUGUGCUAUAUAUUCCAAAGAUUAUCAAUUUUGCAAAGAGCAAGUUAUUUUCUUGUGGAUUGCUAAUGGUCUUGUACAGCAGUUCCAUUCUGGUAACCAAUACUUUAACGAGUUGAGAUCAAGAUCAUUGUUCGAAAGGGUCCCAGAGUCUUCUGAAAGAGAUGGAGGGAAAUUCUUAAUGCAUGAUCUUGUCAAUGAUUUGGCCCAAAUUGCAUCUUCAAAACUUUGUGUCAGGUUGGAAGAGUGCCAAGGACCUCAUAUGUUGGAACAAAGUCGGCAUAUGUCGUAUGCAAUGGGGAAAGGUGGUGACUUUGAGAAAUUGAAACCGCUCUCUAAGUCAGAGCAGCUGAGAACAUUGCUUCCAAUCUCUAUCCAGUACCUUUUCCGCCGUAAUCUAAGCAAGAGGGUGCUGCAUAACAUACUGCCAAGGCUAACAUCUUUAAGGGCAUUAUCAUUGUCACGUUAUGAGAUUUUGGAGUUGCCGGAUGCUUUGUUUAUCAAAUUAAAACUCCUGAGAUUUUUGGACCUUUCUCGGACGCAGAUUAAAAAAUUGCCCCAUUCCAUCUGUGCAUUGUAUAACUUGGAGGCACUUCUCCUGUCAUCUUGUGCAUAUCUUGAGGAGCUACCGCCGCAGAUGGAAAAGCUAAUCAACUUGUGUCAUCUUGACAUAAGCGACACUUCUCGCUUGAAGAUGCCGCUACAUCUGAGCAAGUUGAAAAGCCUCCAAGUGCUAGAUGGAGCCAAAUUUCUUUUAGGUGGCCCCUGUGGUUGGAGAAUGAAAGAUUUGGGUGGAGCACAUUACUUGUAUGGAUCUCUAUCAAUUUUAGUGUUGCAAAAUGUGGUUGAUAGAAGGGAAGCUCAGAAGGGAAAGAUUAGGGAGAAGAAUCAUGUUGAGAAGUUAUCGUUGGAGUGGAGUGAAAGUGAUGCUGACAAUUCACAAACUGAAAGAGACAUACUUGAUGAGCUACGCCCACACACAAACAUAAAAGAACUCCAAAUCUCUGGAUAUAGAGGGACGCAAUUUCCAAAUUGGCUAGCUGAUCUUUCGUUUCUUAAGCUCCUAGUACUAUUGUCUCUUUGCAACUGCAAGGACUGUUUUUCCUUGCCAGCACUAGGACAACUUCCUUGUUUGAAAUUCCUUUCCAUUAGAAAGAUGCAUCGAAUAACAGAGGUGACGUAAGAAUUCUAUGGUAGUCCGUCCUCCUAAAAGCCUUUUAACUCUCUUGAGAAGCUUGAAUUUGCAGAGAUGCCUGAGUGGAAGCAGUGGCACGUAC